This is a long non-coding RNA of Quercus robur (English oak), 1536 nucleotides long. RefSeq lists it as uncharacterized. The transcript has 3 exons. Lineage: Eukaryota; Viridiplantae; Streptophyta; Magnoliopsida; Fagales; Fagaceae. The record is from RefSeq and is a predicted model, not a curated record.
UCCUGCUAGCUCUUGGAGUUCCUUUCAACGUUGGUGUUGGCGUUACCCUGAGGCAGUAAAACCUAUGGAACAUGGCUUUGAGAACCUACAUGUCUUCUAUAAGAGCUGAAUUAUCUAGGGAAGAAGGGUUAUUGGCAUCGACAAGUUUCAUUAUGUGGUAUUCUUGCUUCACCCUUGCCAUGAAAAAUACCCUUUCGUGAUGGACUGGCCUGAGCGGUUCUUCAUCACAUAGGCUCCUCCAUUCUAGCGGGUUUGUCUCUGUAGGAAAUUACUUCCAAUGAUAACUAGUACCGUACCUACCAUGAUUUGCAGCCCUCCAAAGCAUAAAGAUACACCUUCUUUGGUUGUUGUGUUCAUCUCAGUAUCUUGGGAUGUCUCUGCAUAAGUCCAUUCUCUCGUGUGGUAGCGUACCAUGUGAUGCGCUUGGUGGACAUUAGGCGUAUAGUGCUCAAAAACUACCCUAUUUCUUGAUUGCCAAAUAAUACAUAACACUGCACGUUUAAUUGCCACAUGCUUCAUAGCAUUUCAGCCAAGUGAUAAGUUUUGAUUAUUUUUCCAGCCAGUUUAUUAGCGACAUGGGAUUGAUUAUUUCUGUUUGCAAAAUCUGUGUUGAUCUGAAUCAUAUUUUCUGGAAAAGGGGCAUAAGAAGAAGAGACGAUGGUCUAAAGUUUACAUUGGGAGGCAUUUGUGGAGUAUUUUCUAUUGUUGUUUGUACUGUACUACUGCGUAUUCUUCAGAAUUUUAUAUACUUGCUUGACUUGGUAAGUUUCCUUUGGGUUUAAUUUCCAAACUUGGAUUCCAAAUUUUGAGUGAGCAGUUCUAAUGAUUUCUGCUAUAUAUCCUAGUUAAUUUCUCUUCAUCCUAUGUUCCUAUCCUUAGGUCCAUGAGGUCCUUGACUGUUCCUGUUUGAAGGUGUAAGCGCUCUAGGGUCUUAGGUGACUGGUUUAAACCAAAGUGUGUCUUAAAGCUUUAUGUGAUCACCCAUCCCCUACCUUCCAUUUAUCCUGGGCUGUAGUGGGGUGUCCUUUAUAUUUGCUUUUAAGUGUUGUGGUCACUAAUAACUUGGGGUUUUCACCAAUCCUCCAAAAUUGUUUGGCAAUCAACACUUUAUUGAAGCAUUCAGUGUGUCUUAGGCCCAGUCCUAUGGCUUCCUUUGGCUUAGUGAUAUUGUAUACUGACAUGGCGUAGAUUGGCAUUGCUUGCAUGACUAAUUUGAUCAAGAAUAUGAGGAUGUCAUCAGCAAACAGAAGGUGGGAGAUAGGUAGUUCCUUUGGCUAAUUGGCUUCCAUAUCUAGCAGGAUGUAUGACAAUGCAUUUGUACAUACGAUGAACAGGUGUUUUGAAAUGAUCUGUUGGUGCUCCGUUGAUGAGAAUGUUGUAGGGGACUGUUUUAAGUUUUAACACAUUGCAUGAUAAGGCUUGUCCACCUUCGGCCAAAGCCCAUAAUAUGUAACACUGCUUCAAUGAAGUUCUAGUUUAAUCAGUUGUAGACUUGUAGGCUUUGCUAUAUUUAAAUUGCAGCUAUCUUAAUUCUCA